GACGAACGCUGGCGGCGUGCUUAACACAUGCAAGUCGAACGGAAAGGCCCAGCUUGCUGGGUGCUCGAGUGGCGAACGGGUGAGUAACACGUGGGUGAUCCGCCUCUAACUUCGGGAUAAGCUUGGGAAACUGGGUCUAAUACCGGAUAGGACAAUCGUUUAGUGUCGGUUGUGGAAAGUUUUUUCGGUUAGGGAUGAGCCCGCGGCCUAUCAGCUUGUUGGUGGGGUAAUGGCCUACCAAGGCGUCGACGGGUAGCCGGCCUGAGAGGGUGGACGGCCACAUUGGGACUGAGAUACGGCCCAGACUCCUACGGGAGGCAGCAGUGGGGAAUAUUGCACAAUGGGCGCAAGCCUGAUGCAGCGACGCCGCGUGGGGGAUGACGGCCUUCGGGUUGUAAACCUCUUUCGACAGGGACGAAGCUUUGGUGACGGUACCUGUAUAAGAAGCACCGGCUAACUACGUG
This 464-nucleotide ribosomal RNA is filed under the name uncultured bacterium. RNAcentral's name for it is "partial 16S ribosomal RNA". It matches the Rfam family "Bacterial small subunit ribosomal RNA", at positions 28 to 507 of the family's 1533-position model. The record is from RNAcentral.